GCCUGGCUUGCACAACCGGAAGGAUGAUGACCUCCUGUAGUCCUUACAACAACAAAUGGUGUGAGCACGAGUCUUUCCACAUUUCCAGAUGAGGAAACGGAAUCAGGGAGCAAGGAUAAGUCGCUUGUCCAAGGUUACAUAAUUGGAAGAACUAGUUAGAAAGUAUGGACGAGGAAAAGCCAAAGACCUCAACUGGGGUCCAAUUAUUGGGAUCUGAUUAUCUCCCAAAUCCUCAUUGUUGGUACAGUUAACCCUGGAUAGCUUGCAGUGGCAAACUCUGUUGGCGACCUUCACUGUUUGUAAUACCUCCUACGGUAACCAACUGGGAUAUUUUCUCCAGAU
Long non-coding RNA from Mustela erminea (ermine), 342 nucleotides. RefSeq lists it as uncharacterized. The record is from RefSeq and is a predicted model, not a curated record. The transcript has 3 exons. NCBI's taxonomy places the organism in Eukaryota, Metazoa, Chordata, Mammalia, Carnivora, Mustelidae.